The submitters of this non-coding RNA (94 nucleotides) gave its source as unclassified sequences. The record is from Rfam.
UACCACAUUCUUGCUCCCGCUAACCAAGACCUAUGGGAGGAUAAAUUACGUCUUUAUAUCCAGUAGUGAGGGAUUACUGGAAAUAAGUUUNNNN